This is a long non-coding RNA of Raphanus sativus (radish), 1405 nucleotides long. RefSeq lists it as uncharacterized. The record is from RefSeq and is a predicted model, not a curated record. The transcript is spliced from 3 exons. NCBI's taxonomy places the organism in Eukaryota, Viridiplantae, Streptophyta, Magnoliopsida, Brassicales, Brassicaceae.
UGCGAUCUAAUAAAAGAGGAAGAGGUUGUAAUAGUAACGAAGGAGAGAUCAAGAGAAAGGUGAUGGUGUGUUUCAAGUAUAACGAUGAGUAAUUUAUAAACGAGGGAUAUGUACCUUAAGUGAUGACGGAUGGCUGAUAUUGUGAACCAGCGCACAUAAUCAUGAUAGGCGAUCCAACAUGCAGUAACUAAGAAUUAAUACUUCAAGAAGAAAAACAUGCAAUUACAUCUUAUGUGCGUGCAGACUAAUGUAUCCAACACCUAACAGUGUCCAGGAUCAUGUUUACUAUUCAACAUAGCAUUUCAAAAAGGUAACCUUUUCUAUUAAUAAUGAAGUAUGUCUUUAUAAUAAAUUACAUGCUAUUGUAAUGGUUAUGUGGAUAACUAUUCAUUAUAAACAUCCAUGCCACUAUGCACAUCUUCAGGGCUGGCCCGGAUAAGCCUAACGAAACAUUCGCUUUAGACCCCUAAAAUUUUUGAAAAUUUUUAUAUCGAUAUAAAUUUUCAAAUUUAUAAAAUAAAAUAAAAAAAUUCCCAAAUUAUUGAAUUUUCUCUUUAUUCGUUUAUGGUUUCCAAAAUCUUAAAGCCGGCUCUACAAAUCAUAUUAGAAACUUGUAUGAAAUUGAAUACUUUAACAUGUAGGUUUACAUUUUAGUGAUUAUAUAGUGGGUGGGGUUAGGUUUAUAAAUUUUUAUAAAUAAUUCUUAAAUAUUUAUAAAUGAUAAGAAGAAUUCAGAAAAAACAUUUAUAAUUAAUUACGAGAAUUACUUUUAUCUUGAUUUCAAAGUAUGUUUUAAAAUAAUAAUUUUUUAAAAAUAAAUUCGAAAAAUAAUAUCAAAUUUGAGCUAAAAUUAUAAGAAAUUAUAAUUCCCCCAUAUUAACCAAUAUCACUGCUUGCAGUUUGGUUGGGUGAUGGGACGUACUCUUUUUAUUCACAAUAUUUUUCAGGCUAAUGUACCCGAUCAAUUUUAAUUGUCUUUUGGAAACUAUAGUUCUUUUUUUGACUGAAUGGAAACUAUAGUUCUUUAUUCUCUCGUAACAUAUUUCCUAUGAAAGUAUGAUUACAAAUUAAGAAAAUCCAGGUUCUUAUUUUCUUAGUCAGAAGUUUGAAAUUUUUUCAAAAUUCUCAUGAUCAUUUGAAAGUCCUAUUAGAUAUUAGUAAUAAUACCCGAUAAGAUAUAAAUAACAUGAAUGCAGAAAAAAUAUAUUACUUGCUUUUAUAGCUCUAUAUGGUAUCAACAUCUGUGCAAUAUCAACGUCUAUGAUUUCUUAAAUUCUAUGAGGGGUGUAUAUACACUAAUAGAAGGAAUAACUAGAGGUUUUAUGCAGUAUCAACGUCUAUGAUUUAUUAAAUUCUUUGGAGAUGUAUUCGACUAAAAAUUUGAGGUGAUUUAUAUUAAUACAAA